AAAAAAAAUCAUUCGUAAAUGAAUUUUACCAUGGAAUUCAUUUACAAAUCAAAUGAAUUUUAUCGUAGAAUUGAACCAAACAAAGUCUAAAAUUGAAUUAUAAAAUUGUGCCAUCAGCUAUAUUUCAAGUGCUUCAAAGUUAAUAAGCACCAGCAGAAUGCCUAUACUGCAGCAAAACCAUUACUUAAACCCAUAAGAUGGCUGCAAAGUACCAUAGAAGAGGCCACGGCAAAGCCAGAUGGCUGCAAAGUGCAAAGUACCAGUAAAAAGGCCUCAGCAAAGUCUUUUAGACCCCACACUCAGAACAAAAGUGAACAAAUGAAUUUGAAAAAGGGGGGAAAAAGAUUUAGACAUGGUGAAUACAGCACAGCAAUUGCUCCUAGAAUACACAGAAAAAAUUGUUCCUUUGCAAAAAAAAAAAAAUCUUCAGGAGCUGUUGUGAAACUAAACUAAUUCAUACUUUGUCAGCACACAAUUUUUGGCUGUAUCUCUUCUUUCCCCAUCCCGUUAGAAUCCAAUCAUUCUUACAGACCGAGGCAUCUACAGGUCUAUGAUAUCCUGCCUCUAUUUAUCCUCAAUAGGUGUUACCCACACCUUAGAAAUUUCUUAUGCGUUCCCUUGCAUGCAUCUUAAGUAACAAUACUUUUACUACACACCCACUAUACAUGAUUAAGUUCCACUUGUCUACUUAUUUAUCUGCUACCAUUUAAGAUCACUUCAGCUAUUAUAAAUCAAUGAAUCUUCCAAUAUUUUUAUACAUAUUACCAUCCAAAAAAGAGUAUUCAAGUCUCCAACCCAUGAAUUUACAACAUAAAUAAAUAAAAAAUUAUUAACAUGUAAAAUUUGGCACAAAAAUCUAUAAGUAUUUUGGAAUCUUCAAGUAAAAUGCCCCUUCCCCAAAAAGCUUGCCCAUGAUAGAAAUGGGCCCCGUCCAGGUUUGGAUUGGAACUAGUCAAACCCAGAUUUAACUAGAACCGUCUUUAACUGGACCAUUUUUUAACAAUCCAGUUCCAGGUCCAAAAAAGAAAAUUUCACUUUAAAAAAAAAAUUGAAUGUCAAUUU
Molecule: unclassified non-coding RNA, 1062 nt
Filed under: Hevea brasiliensis (rubber tree)
Lineage: Eukaryota; Viridiplantae; Streptophyta; Magnoliopsida; Malpighiales; Euphorbiaceae
Source: RNAcentral